UAAGCUUUGCAUGGUGGGUGCUUCUGUU
Molecule: non-coding RNA, 28 nt
Filed under: Rattus norvegicus (Norway rat)
Lineage: Eukaryota; Metazoa; Chordata; Mammalia; Rodentia; Muridae
Source: RNAcentral